Molecule: non-coding RNA, 24 nt
Filed under: Mus musculus (house mouse)
Lineage: Eukaryota; Metazoa; Chordata; Mammalia; Rodentia; Muridae
Source: RNAcentral
UAAACCCGAGUGGAUGGAUGCCUG